Molecule: ribosomal RNA, 588 nt
Filed under: uncultured Davidiella
Lineage: Eukaryota; Fungi; Ascomycota; Dothideomycetes; Cladosporiales; Cladosporiaceae
Description: eukaryotic LSU rRNA
Rfam family: 5.8S ribosomal RNA (bases 224-377)
Source: RNAcentral
CUUGGUCAUUUAGAGGAAGUAAAAGUCGUAACAAGGUCUCCGUAGGUGAACCUGCGGAGGGAUCAUUACAAGAACGCCCGGGCUGCGGCCUGGUUAUUCAUAACCCUUUGUUGUCCGACUCUGUUGCCUCCGGGGCGACCCUGCCUUCGGGCGGGGGCUCCGGGUGGACACUUCAAACUCUUGCGUAACUUUGCAGUCUGAGUAAACUUAAUUAAUAAAUUAAAACUUUUAACAACGGAUCUCUUGGUUCUGGCAUCGAUGAAGAACGCAGCGAAAUGCGAUAAGUAAUGUGAAUUGCAGAAUUCAGUGAAUCAUCGAAUCUUUGAGCGCACAUUGCGCCCCCUGGUAUUCCGGGGGGCAUGCCUGUUCGAGCGUCAUUUCACCACUCAAGCCUCGCUUGGUAUUGGGCAACGCGGUCCGCCGCGUGCCUCAAAUCGUCCGGCUGGGUCUUCUGUCCCCUAAGCGUUGUGGAAACUAUUCGCUAAAGGGUGUUCGGGAGGCUACGCCGUAAAACAACCCCAUUUCUAAGGUUGACCUCGGAUCAGGUAGGGAUACCCGCUGAACUUAGGCAUAUCAAUAAGCGGAGGA